Molecule: non-coding RNA, 25 nt
Filed under: Gallus gallus (chicken)
Lineage: Eukaryota; Metazoa; Chordata; Aves; Galliformes; Phasianidae
Also listed under: 6 other names
Source: RNAcentral
GUACGUAGCAGAGCAGCUCCCUCGC